This 244-nucleotide ribosomal RNA is filed under the name uncultured bacterium. Its description in RNAcentral is "partial 16S ribosomal RNA". It matches the Rfam family "Bacterial small subunit ribosomal RNA", at positions 57 to 305 of the family's 1533-position model. The record is from RNAcentral.
GCAAGUCGAACGAUGAACCUAGCUUGCUAGGGGAUUAGUGGCGCACGGGUGAGUAACAUAUAGAUAACGUGCCUCUUAGUCUGGGAUAGCCAUUGGAAACGAUGAUUAAUACUAGAUACUCCUUCUAACUAUAAUGUUAGUCGGGAAAGUUUUUCGCUAAGAGAUCGGUCUAUAUCCCAUCAGCUUGUUGGUAGUGUAAGAGACUACCAAGGCAAUGACGGGUAGCGGGUUUGAGAGGAUGAUC